CAGUCAAUUCACUAUGAAGUGGUGAAUUUCUUCAUUUUCCAUUUAAAGACAUUUACUAAUGUCUGUUUUUUGGAUACUUUUCCAGUGAAUAAACAAGGAGAAAAGGCAAAGACCUCCUUUAGAAAACCAUAGCAUCAUAAAGUUCCUUACAAAUUCUAUUUCGUCUGUUUGUAACUUUAAGGCUUUGAUGAACUAGGUGGACUUCUCAAACCAACAGUGGCCUCUCAGAACCAGAGCCUUCCUGUUGCCAAACUCCCGCCUAACAAGUUAGUAUCUGAUGACUUGGAUUCAUCUUUAGCCAACCUUGUGGGCAAUCUUGGCAUCGGAAAUGGAACCACUAAGAAUGAUGUAAAUUGGAGUCAACCAGGUGAAAAGAAGUUAACUGGAGG
RNAcentral lists this small RNA (389 nucleotides) under Pongo abelii (Sumatran orangutan). Its description in RNAcentral is "retained intron". The record is from RNAcentral. Lineage: Eukaryota; Metazoa; Chordata; Mammalia; Primates; Hominidae.